GGAAGAGGAGGAGGAGGAGGAGGAAGAAGAAGAAUAUGAACAGGAUGAGAGAGACCAGAAGGAAGAGGGAAAUGAUUAUGAUACUCGAAGUGAAGCUAGCGACUCUGAUUCUGAAUCCGUUUCUUUCACAGAUGGAUCUGUCAGAUCUGGUUCAGGCACAGAUGGAUCAGAUGAGAAAAAGAAGGAA
Ailuropoda melanoleuca (giant panda) is the source of this 187-nucleotide long non-coding RNA. RefSeq lists it as uncharacterized. The transcript has 3 exons. Lineage: Eukaryota; Metazoa; Chordata; Mammalia; Carnivora; Ursidae. The record is from RefSeq and is a predicted model, not a curated record.